Mugil cephalus (flathead mullet) is the source of this 655-nucleotide long non-coding RNA. RefSeq lists it as uncharacterized. The transcript is spliced from 4 exons. The record is from RefSeq and is a predicted model, not a curated record. Lineage: Eukaryota; Metazoa; Chordata; Actinopteri; Mugiliformes; Mugilidae.
UCUGUUUACAGGGAGAUCCUCGAUGGCCAUUUAGAAGUUUUUAUAUUAUUUGAACCAAAAGCUGAAUCUAACAGAUGAAACCUUGUUAAUAAUCUGGAGCUGGUUGAGGUCAGUGGUCGGUGGAUGAUUUCCAGACGUGUUUAAUGACAGAAACUUCACUCAGCAGGACCCUCUGAUUCUUCAGAUGGAAGGUCCGUUCCUUCAUUUCCAGCUCAGAACCAUCACCAGUUUGGUUUUCUGUCUCCUACUGACUCACUGCUCUAGAGGUCAGUCUGAAUCAGUGGAUUCACUUCAACCAAUUAUAGCAAGAGUUGGUGAUGAGGUUGUUCUACCGUGUCAAAUCAAACCUUCGGAGGACGUUUCUGAAGCAAUGUUGGAGUGGAAAAGGUCAAACCUCCCCGUCCUGGUGUGGCGUGAUGGUGCAGACCUUAAAAUACAAAAAGAUCCGUCCUACAGAGGAAGAACAUCUCUGUUCCCUGAUGAAUUGAAACAUGGAAACAUUUCACUGAAACUCUCUGACGUGAAGCUGUCUGAUAAAAGAAUUUAUAGAUGUUACGUUGUAGAGAAGAAUAGAGAGAUGUUUGUUGAGCUUGUUGUUGCAUCAGCUCCUGUCUCCUCACCCGUCAUCAGUUUAUCAGGGAUGGACAGAGACAGA